AGCUUGUUGGUGAGGUAACGGCUCACCAAGGCUUCGACGGGUAGCCGGCCUGAGAGGGCGACCGGCCACACUGGGACUGAGAUACGGCCCAGACUCCUACGGGAGGCAGCAGUGGGGAAUAUUGCACAAUGGGCGCAAGCCUGAUGCAGCAACGCCGCGUGCGGGAUGACGGCCUUCGGGUUGUAAACCGCUUUCAGUUCCGACGAAGCGCAAGUGACGGUAGGAACAGAAGAAGGACCGGCCAACUACGUGCCAGCAGCCGCGGUGAUACGUAGGGUCCGAGCGUUGUCCGGAAUUAUUGGGCGUAAAGGGCUUGUAGGCGGUUUGUUGCGUCGGAAGUGAAAACUCAGGGCUUAACCCUGAGCCUGCUUCCGAUACGGGCAAACUAGAGGGAUGCAGGGGAGAAUGGAAUUCCUGGUGGAGCGGUGGAAUGCGCAGAUAUCAGGAGGAACACCGGUGGCGAAGGCGGUUCUCUGGGCAUUUCCUGACGCUGAGAAGCGAAAGCGUGGGGAGCAAACAGGCUUAGAUACCCUGGUAGUCCACGCCGUAAACGGUGGGCACUAGGUGUGGGGGACAUUUUACGUUCUCCGUGCCGAAACU
This 600-nucleotide ribosomal RNA is filed under the name uncultured Actinomycetes bacterium. Its description in RNAcentral is "SSU rRNA". It matches the Rfam family "Bacterial small subunit ribosomal RNA", at positions 243 to 853 of the family's 1533-position model. The record is from RNAcentral. Lineage: Bacteria; Bacillati; Actinomycetota; Actinomycetes.